GACGAACGCUGGCGGCGUGCUUAACACAUGCAAGUCGAACGGUAAGGCCCUUCGGGGUACACGAGUGGCGAACGGGUGAGUAACACGUGGGUGAUCUGCCCUGCACUUCGGGAUAAGCCUGGGAAACUGGGUCUAAUACCGGAUAGGACCACUGCCUGCAUGGGUGGUGGUGGAAAGCUUUUGCGGUGUGGGAUGGGCCCGCGGCCUAUCAGCUUGUUGGUGGGGUGAUGGCCUACCAAGGCGGCGACGGGUAGGCGGCCUGAGAGGGUGAGCCGCCACACGGGGACUGAGAUACGGCCCAGACUCCUACGGGAGGCAGCAGUGGGGAAUAUUGCACAAUGGGCGCAAGCCUGAUGCAGCGACGCCGCGUGAGGGAUGACGGCCUUCGGGUUGUAAACCUCUUUCAGCACCGACGAAGCGCAAGUGACGGUAGGUGCAGAAGAAGGACCGGCCAACUACGUGCCAGCCGCCGCGGUAA
This 478-nucleotide ribosomal RNA is filed under the name uncultured bacterium. RNAcentral's name for it is "partial 16S ribosomal RNA". It matches the Rfam family "Bacterial small subunit ribosomal RNA", at positions 28 to 523 of the family's 1533-position model. The record is from RNAcentral.